Molecule: ribosomal RNA, 253 nt
Filed under: uncultured bacterium
Lineage: Bacteria
Description: partial 16S ribosomal RNA
Rfam family: Bacterial small subunit ribosomal RNA
Source: RNAcentral
UACGUAGGUGGCGAGCGUUGUCCGGAUUUACUGGGCGUAAAGAGCGCGCAGGCGGCUGGUCAAGUCCGAUGUGAAAGCUCCCGGCUUAACUGGGAAAUUGCAUCGGAAACUGAUCGGCUGGAAGGUGGGAGAGGGUAGCGGAAUUCCCGGUGUAGUGGUGAAAUGCGUAGAUAUCGGAAGGAACAUCAGUGGCGAAAGCGGCUUCCUGGUCCAGCACCGACGUUCAGGCACGAAAGCGUGGGGAGCAAACAGG